RNAcentral lists this long non-coding RNA (292 nucleotides) under Physcomitrium patens. RNAcentral's name for it is "long non-coding RNA (PPAT_LNC006685)". Lineage: Eukaryota; Viridiplantae; Streptophyta; Bryopsida; Funariales; Funariaceae. The record is from RNAcentral.
UAAAACACCCAAGAAAUACUACAAUGCUUUCUACUUCCUAAUAAUACUCCACCAUCACUGAUAACAACAACAUGUAAUCCCGCACUAUCCUAAAUGACAGGACAUAAUCAUACUAUAAUCCAAACUCUGGAGUUCUUCACCAUUAACUGCCUUCACAUUACAAUGUUUCACACAAACACAAACUCAUUCUCUCUGCUGAACUACAAUCAGAUUUCAGCAUUCAAUCUUUCUUCUUCCCAUUUAAUAACAAUCAUACUUCCAUUCCAUAAUUCACUUUCAAAAUAUUUAGAAA